This 770-nucleotide ribosomal RNA is filed under the name uncultured Chloroflexota bacterium. Its description in RNAcentral is "bacterial SSU rRNA". It matches the Rfam family "Bacterial small subunit ribosomal RNA", at positions 8 to 796 of the family's 1533-position model. Lineage: Bacteria; Bacillati; Chloroflexota. The record is from RNAcentral.
AGAGUUUGAUCCUGGCUCAGGAUGAACGCUAGCGGCAGGCUUAAUACAUGCGAGUCGAGGGGCAACAGGGGUAGCGAUACCUGCUGGCGACCGACAAACGGGUGCGCAACACGUACGAACCUGCCUGUUUGUGGGGAAUAACGCGCCGAAAGGCGUGCUAAUACCGCGUACGCUCAGCCUUCACUGGUUGAGGAAAGCCUUUGGGCGCAGACAGCGGGGCGUGCGGCCCAUUAGCUGGUUGGUGGGGUAACGGCCUACCAAGGCGACGAUCGGUAGCUGGUCUGAGAGGACGGCCAGCCACACGGGGACUGAGACACGGCCCCGACUCCUACGGGAGGCAGCAGCGAGGAAUCUUGGUCAAUGGGCGCAAGCCUGAACCAGCGACGCCGCGUGCAGGAUGAAGGCCCUCGGGUCGUAAACUGCUUUUGCGUGGGACGAAGAUCUGACGGUACCACGCGAAUAAGCCACGGCUAACUACGUGCCAGCAGCCGCGGUAAUACGUAGGUGGCGAGCGUUGUCCGGAUUUAUUGGGCGUAAAGCGCGCGCAGGCGGUGCAGCAAGUCCGGUGUGAAAGCUCCCGGCUCAACUGGGAGAGGUCAUUGGAGACUGCUGGACUGGAGGAUGGCAGAGGUCGGUGGAAUUCCCGGUGUAGUGGUGAAAUGCGUAGAGAUCGGGAGGAACACCAGUGGCGAAGGCGGCCGACUGGGCCAUACCUGACGCUGAGGCGCGAAAGCGUGGGGAGCGAACCGGAUUAGAUACCCUUGUAGUCC